GGUUCCAUAGUGUAGUGGUCAGCACGUCUGUUUUACAUGCAGAAGGUCCUGGGUUCGUGGCCCAGUGGAGCCA
This 73-nucleotide transfer RNA is filed under the name Pteropus alecto (black flying fox). It matches the Rfam family "tRNA". Rfam says of the family: Transfer RNA (tRNA) molecules are approximately 80 nucleotides in length. Their secondary structure includes four short double-helical elements and three loops (D, anti-codon, and T loops). Further hydrogen bonds mediate the characteristic L-shaped molecular structure. tRNAs have two regions of fundamental functional importance: the anti-codon, which is responsible for specific mRNA codon recognition, and the 3' end, to which the tRNAs corresponding amino acid is attached (by aminoacyl-tRNA synthetases). tRNAs cope with the degeneracy of the genetic code in two manners: having more than one tRNA (with a specific anti-codon) for a particular amino acid; and 'wobble' base-pairing, i.e. permitting non-standard base-pairing at the 3rd anti-codon position. Lineage: Eukaryota; Metazoa; Chordata; Mammalia; Chiroptera; Pteropodidae. The record is from Rfam by way of RNAcentral.